UACAGAGGUCCCAAGCGUUGUUCGGAUUCACUGGGCGUAAAGGGUGCGUAGGUGGUGAGGUAAGUCUGAUGUGAAAUCUCCAAGCUUAACUUGGAAAUGGCAUUGGAAACUACCUUGCUAGAGGAUUGGAGGGGAGACUGGAAUUCUUGGUGUAGCAGUGAAAUGCGUAGAUAUCAAGAGGAACACCGGUGGCGAAGGCGGUCUGCUGGGCAGUAGCUGACGCUGAUGCGCGACAGCGUGGGGAGCAAACAGG
This 253-nucleotide ribosomal RNA is filed under the name uncultured bacterium. Its description in RNAcentral is "partial 16S ribosomal RNA". It matches the Rfam family "Bacterial small subunit ribosomal RNA", at positions 524 to 776 of the family's 1533-position model. The record is from RNAcentral.